Molecule: unclassified non-coding RNA, 2090 nt
Filed under: Hevea brasiliensis (rubber tree)
Lineage: Eukaryota; Viridiplantae; Streptophyta; Magnoliopsida; Malpighiales; Euphorbiaceae
Source: RNAcentral
AGAUGUUCUCCCUUUGACUCCCUCUGUUUCUUCGGUGUCACACCUUUUCCUUUCUUCUCACUACUUCUAGCCGUAACCAACAUAGCAUAGCAUGUACACCGACUGGAACAGGGUCAAGAACACUUCUUUUGAAAUACCCAUCUCCUUCGUUUCUCAUCUAUCCAUCUAAAAUUCUCUCUUCAUCAUUUUUUUUCUAUCUUUUCUCACCAUGUCCUGUUCUGGAGGUAAAGGGGAAUCACGUGCACCGUACUCGAAUGUCUCUGUCUGUGAUUGCCCCUCCUUCUCCAACCUACUCAAAAGCGUUUUGACGACCAAUUCUUCUACUUUUCGAUUUCAGGGACAACAUGAGACACCUCAACAAGAUAAUGUGGUGAGCAAAAAGCCUAAAGAAGAUGGAGCAAAGUUGGAACUUCAAGCUGAAUGCGCAAAUCCUUCUACCGGUAUAUCACCUCUUGCUCCAGCUGCAACAUCUCUGCCGCAUUCAGCUCCUGUAAUCCCAACUUCUGGGCUAAUAGUAGACCAGCAAAAUGCUGACUGUAAUACCUGUCUUUCCCAUAUUGUUAGGGAGACGCCUGCUAGUGAUGGGUAUAGCUGGAGGAAGUAUGGGCAAAAGCAGGUGAAGAGUUCUAGUAGUUCCCGAAGCUACUACAGGUGUGCGUUUUCUAAUUGCCAUGCAAAGAAGAAGAUUCAACGCUGUCAUCAUUCCAGUCGUAUCAUUGAUAUUGUUUAUAUAGGUCACCAUAAUCAUGAUCUCUCUCAAAAUAAAUGCAAUGUGUCAAGAGCGUCUGUAGCAUCCUCUAAGCUUGCUGCAGGCAGUAAUAUUGUUGAUUCUAUUCAAAAGGUCGAUGGUGCAGAUAUGUCUAUCUGCUGGGAAGACACCAGGCAGUCAUCCGUGCAUAUUGCUGAAUCUGAACAACAGAGUUCCAGUAGCUCUACUGGCGAUAUUAGGAUUAAGGUUGAGGAGCAUAAUGGUAAUGAGCUGGACUCAAAAAAAUUUGGGGCAGAACACCAGAAAAAUAGUUCUUGUGGAAUUGCAAAUGCUGAGGUUCAGGAGAAGCAUGGUGCUGAACCAAGGCUGAAAAAAAGGAGUGCAUAUUCAGCUCCGGUCUUGGAAGCUAAUAAGGAGAUUAAGAUUGUUGUGCAUACUACUGCUGAUGGGGGCAUCUCAAGUGAUGGCUACCGAUGGCGCAAGUAUGGCCAGAAAAUGGUGAAGGGGAAUUCUCACAUAAGGUGAAUUUUCAUAUUAAUUUGACAUUUUUUAGUGGAUAGUUUCAACUUUCAACGGAUUCUUCUUCUGUUGUACUCGUACAUAUCAACCCGGGUUUUUAGCCAUUGCACUGCUUUGUGUAUGGUUGCAUACUCAUACUUCCAUGGUAUAUGCGCUUGUGAAUAUUUGUGCAUGCCAUGGUGAUUUAUAGAUAUAUGCUGCGUUUCAUACUCAAUCUCAAUUCUUGUUCUUACUUUCACUUGUCCUCUUGAUGAAAUGUUAGGAGUUAUUAUAGAUGCACAUCAGGCGGAUGCUCUGCCCGCAAGCAUGUUGAGAGGGCGACAGAUGAUGCAACAACAUCUACAAUAACAUACGAAGGGAAACAUGACCAUGACAUGCCAAUACCUAAGAAACAAAAAGGUUCAGAAAGUCUUGGUCUGAUUUCCUCUUCCGCCACAUCAAAUGGUGCUCAUUGCAAGAAAACAAAAACUUUAUCUAGUCAAAGGAUUUCAGCCAAAUGGUCAGUGGAUAGAGAAGGAGAUUUGAUGGACGAGAAGGUCUUAGAGCUUGGAGGUGAAAAGGCACUGGAGUCGGCUCAAACCCUUCUCAGCAUUGGAAUUGAACUCAGGCCUUGUUGAGAAGCAAAUAGUAGUGUUGAUUGAUACAAAAAUGUUUUCUAAAGUGCCAUCUUUGGCUUAGAUUAUGCACUGUUGAUUUGAGUUUAAUGAAAUUUUGGCAAUUUUACUUGUAUAAUUUGUUCUUAAUGGACUUUCUUUUGUAAUGUCUUUCUGUGGAGCAUCUUAUUUUACUUGUCUAGUUCUUGUUGUUGUAGAGAUCGUUAAAACUAGUACAUCCCAUUUUAGAAUUUACAAGUUAAAGAAUU